Molecule: ribosomal RNA, 538 nt
Filed under: uncultured bacterium
Lineage: Bacteria
Description: partial 16S ribosomal RNA
Rfam family: Bacterial small subunit ribosomal RNA
Source: RNAcentral
UGGGGAAUAUUGCACAAUGGGCGAAAGCCUGAUGCAGCGACGCCGCGUGAGGGAUGACGGCCUUCGGGUUGUAAACCUCUUUCAGCAGGGAAGAAGCGAAAGUGACGGUACCUGCAGAAGAAGCGCCGGCUAACUACGUGCCAGCAGCCGCGGUAAUACGUAGGGCGCAAGCGUUGUCCGGAAUUAUUGGGCGUAAAGAGCUCGUAGGCGGUUAGUCGCGUCUGCUGUGAAAACUCGAGGCUCAACCUCGGGCUUGCAGUGGGUACGGGCUGACUAGAGUGCGGUAGGGGUGACUGGAAUUCCUGGUGUAGCGGUGGAAUGCGCAGAUAUCAGGAGGAACACCGAUGGCGAAGGCAGGUCACUGGGCCGCAACUGACGCUGAGGAGCGAAAGCAUGGGGGGCGAACAGGAUUAGAUAGCCCUGGUAGUCCAUGCCGUAAACGUUGGGCACUAGGUGUGGGGUCCAUUCCACGGAUUCCGUGCCGCAGCAAACGCAUUAAGUGCCCCGCCUGGGGAGUACGGCCGCAAGGCUAAAACUU